GUAUAAGGAGCUCAAGGUGGUUCCAUGGAAUUCUCAGUUUCCAGUUGAAUAGAACCAUUUUUGUGUGUGUGUGUGUGAGAAUUAAACUCAAUAAUCCAGCAGAGUUCAAAGUUACAGAAAGAGAAAACAAAAUUUUUACUGGGUGCAUUGUUGAGGUAACAGGGCAGGGAAUAUUCCCACUCCAGCCCCUUCGUUCUCAAAGCCAUGUGUCCUGACUAUUGUAGAAACAGCAUCAUGUAUUUAUUAGUCAUUAUUGCUAUCAAUUGCUAUUGGAAUAUAUUGUACAUCUUGUCAGAAGAUACCUUGGACUUGCAAGCUUUUAUGUGUAUGUGUUGGCUCUUCUUGUCCUCCCAGCAGGUGACGUACUGUUUCUUCAAUAGACCAUCGGGCUAUUUCAUUAAGACAGCAUCUUCAGACAAUGUGGUACAUGGUAGCACCAAUUUAAAUCAACAGACUGAAUAAACUACGAGAACCACUCCCACCUGCUUGAGGUCACAGUCACACCAGAAUCUCCGGUAAAGAUCUGGAAGCAAUGAGUGGUAGUAGGUAUUGAAUAAAAUUGUCAUUGCCUUACAAGAGGACACAUCAUUGAGGUCAUUUAGAAUCUUCAGGUGAAGGAAGACUGAUGUUCUCAAACAGAAAAGAUGGGCUGUUUCUGAUGGAAAUUAAGGAUCAAUGAGGAGACUGUUUUCCAUGGGUCUCUCACAUUUCUGGACAUCUUGCAAAUGAAGGCACUCACUGACUUUAUUUCAAAUUAUCUUUUGAAGGAUGUUUAUAUAGCAAAUGACAGAGAAAAUGUCUCUCUCUAGGGUGAAGACCAGAUAGAAUUACUGCUCAUUUUAAAAGAUUCAGGUACCCUAUGUUUAGAAUUCCUCUCUUGUACCCCACCCCAUUAUGUGUGCAGGUAUUACCCAGACUUCUUUGUAUUAUCCUGUAGAUUUGUGUCUUCCAGAACCAAUGCAAAUGCUGAUACUCUGGUUUUUGCUGUUCUGAAUAAUAAAGUCAUUAAUAUCUA
This is a long non-coding RNA of Homo sapiens (human), 1015 nucleotides long. RefSeq lists it as uncharacterized. Lineage: Eukaryota; Metazoa; Chordata; Mammalia; Primates; Hominidae. The record is from RefSeq and is a predicted model, not a curated record. The transcript is spliced from 4 exons.